GGGCUGAUGGUGAAAAGGCAUCAUUUCUGCCUUGCAAGCAGAAGUUCAGGGUUCGAGUCCCUGUCGGUCCACCG
RNAcentral lists this transfer RNA (74 nucleotides) under Nonomuraea deserti. RNAcentral's name for it is "Nonomuraea sp. KC310 tRNA-Ala". It matches the Rfam family "tRNA". From Rfam's summary of the family: Transfer RNA (tRNA) molecules are approximately 80 nucleotides in length. Their secondary structure includes four short double-helical elements and three loops (D, anti-codon, and T loops). Further hydrogen bonds mediate the characteristic L-shaped molecular structure. tRNAs have two regions of fundamental functional importance: the anti-codon, which is responsible for specific mRNA codon recognition, and the 3' end, to which the tRNAs corresponding amino acid is attached (by aminoacyl-tRNA synthetases). tRNAs cope with the degeneracy of the genetic code in two manners: having more than one tRNA (with a specific anti-codon) for a particular amino acid; and 'wobble' base-pairing, i.e. permitting non-standard base-pairing at the 3rd anti-codon position. The record is from RNAcentral. Lineage: Bacteria; Bacillati; Actinomycetota; Actinomycetes; Streptosporangiales; Streptosporangiaceae.